UACGUAGGCAGCAAGCGUUGUUCGGAGGUACUGGGCGUAAAGAGUGCGUAGGCGGUCCCGUAAGUUUGUUGUGAAAUCUCCCGGCUUAACUGGGAGGGUGCGGCGAAAACUGCGGGGCUGGAGUAUGGGAGAGGUAGGCGGAAUUCCUGGUGUAGCGGUGAAAUGCGUAGAUAUCAGGAGGAACACCUGUGGUGUAGACAGCUUACUGGACCACUUCUGACGCUGAGACACGAAAGCGUGGGUAGCAAACAGG
Molecule: ribosomal RNA, 253 nt
Filed under: uncultured bacterium
Lineage: Bacteria
Description: partial 16S ribosomal RNA
Rfam family: Bacterial small subunit ribosomal RNA
Source: RNAcentral